GUUCGGUGCUUUGUAUCAAUCUAUUAUGGAUGAGCGUGACGAGGAGGAGGACAUGAAAGAAGCCUUCAAUGUGUUUGAUCAAAAUGGUGAUGGGUAUAUUAGUGUUGAUGAGUUGAGAUCUGUGUUGGCUGCUCUUGGGGUUAAACAAGGGAGGACUUUAGAAGAUUGCAAGACUAUGACCAUUCCAUCACCAUCAACAUCCACCUUCAUGA
This 212-nucleotide unclassified non-coding RNA is filed under the name Hevea brasiliensis (rubber tree). The record is from RNAcentral. Lineage: Eukaryota; Viridiplantae; Streptophyta; Magnoliopsida; Malpighiales; Euphorbiaceae.